Molecule: ribosomal RNA, 253 nt
Filed under: uncultured bacterium
Lineage: Bacteria
Description: partial 16S ribosomal RNA
Rfam family: Bacterial small subunit ribosomal RNA
Source: RNAcentral
UACGUAGGGGGCAAGCGUUGUCCGGAUUUAUUGGGCGUAAAGAGCGUGUAGGCGGCUUUGCAAGUCCGUUGUGAAAACUCGAGGCUCAACCUCGAGACGCCGGUGGAAACUGCAAAGCUAGAGUCCGGAAGAGGAGAGUGGAAUUCCUGGUGUAGCGGUGAAAUGCGCAGAUAUCAGGAGGAACACCGGUGGCGAAGGCGGGUCUCUGGGCAGUAACUGACGCUGAGGAGCGAAAGCGUGGGGAGCGAACAGG